RNAcentral lists this ribosomal RNA (448 nucleotides) under uncultured bacterium. Its description in RNAcentral is "bacterial SSU rRNA". It matches the Rfam family "Bacterial small subunit ribosomal RNA", at positions 330 to 792 of the family's 1533-position model. The record is from RNAcentral.
GCCAGACUCCUACGGGAGGCAGCAGUGGGGAAUAUUGCACAAUGGGGGAAACCCUGAUGCAGCGACGCCGCGUGAGCGAAGAAGUAUUUCGGUAUGUAAAGCUCUAUCAGCAGGGAAGAAAAAAAUGACGGUACCUGAGUAAGAAGCACCGGCUAAAUACGUGCCAGCAGCCGCGGUAAUACGUAUGGUGCAAGCGUUAUCCGGAUUUACUGGGUGUAAAGGGAGCGUAGGCGGCGCGUUAAGUCUGAUGUGAAAACCCGAGGCUCAACCACGGGAGUGCAUUGGAAACUGGCGGGCUGGAGUGCCGGAGAGGUAAGCGGAAUUCCUAGUGUAGCGGUGAAAUGCGUAGAUAUUAGGAGGAACACCAGUGGCGAAGGCGGCUUACUGGACGGCAACUGACGCUGAGGCUCGAAAGCGUGGGGAGCAAACAGGAUUAGAUACCCGAGUA